CAUGUGUUCAAGUACCGGCAGCAGAAAGCACUGCCCGAUCCUUAAUCACUGCUUACUGAUUUAGGUCCGUUUUAUUAGCAGGCAGUCCUUUUCCAGAAAGCCAUUUUCCUGGCAGGGAGCACAGGGCGUAUGCGGGGGCCGAGGGCCGCGUGUGUCCCCCCCCACACCCAACAUCUGCACCCUCUGCCUCUGGCCAGCCCGGGAAGGCAGCGGGAGUUUUAGUGCCGGAGUUUUGUCUGAAAAUACUCAUCUCUGGUGCCUCUAAUCCAAGUACCAAUCAAGCAACUCAGCUUUCCCACCCGGCCAGCCCGGCUUGGAGACCCUCGGAGAUGUAUCCCAGCCAACCAAGAGGCAGGGAGUUUUAUGCCUAUGUAAUCAGUGCAGACAGCCGUUAAGUAAAUGAAGAGGCAACUAACAAUGUCAGAAAAGAGACCGGGCGGUUCCAGCUGACACUACCCUAAUCUUCCAGGACCCAUUAAAUGGCAGUUUCAACGCAUUACCUACCAUAACAUCCUUGAAUAUCACUGAUUUUAUUUGCAGUAUCAAACAUUCCAUUUCAUGCCCCAUUAACAGUAGGAGCCUGGGCUUUUUGACGCAGCUAAACAUUUUACUAACUACCUGGACUAAGUAACCAAUUAACUUUUGGAGACAAUACGGCCAAUUAAGCGCGAAAAGGUCUGGAUUUUGACUGAAGCCUGUUUGAUGUGUGGUUGGUUUUAAUCCAUUGCCAAAAUUAUAAUUUUGAUGGCUAUAACCCAAAUGAAGGAGGAGAAAACACACAAGGAAUUUGCCAUCUCUUAAGGGAUUUGCUGGACAUGAUUCUUCGCCGGCCGAUGUACAUAAAGUACCUGCCUAAGCACAACUUCAGCUUGGGAAGACAGAUGAAAUAACAGAAAGGAUUCCAACAGAUUUAACAGAGUCUCCAGCAAAACCACAAGAAUUGUUUUAUCCAUAGCAGAGACGUAGCUGAUCCAGAAACAGAACUCGCCCGUAUUUACCAGCAGCAAUAAGAAAGGACUUGGAGGUGCAGGCGGGAACACAACUGAGUUAUAGAGGAAAGCAUAAGCUGGUGCUCUGCAAUGGCCGUUCUGUCCAGCACAACUUGUAAGUCACACUGUGCCUCUGAGUCUAUCCCAGGGAAUAAGGGGGAAAGGAGAAGGUGACCAGGAAAAACACCCAACACACAAUUACACAAGGUUUUCAGACUUUCCUGGAUUUUGUUAUGAACCACGUGUGAAGCGAGGACUUGCAGACAGAGCUGCCUCAUCAAAACUAACACUGCAUCCCUCAGAAAAGCUGUCACAGCUGCCCAGCCUAACCUAGGGGAAGACUAAUGCAAUUAUGUCAAGGUAUACUGAGGAACCCUCAGUGCUAUAAAUAAUAAUAAAGGGUAAAUAAUAAAAAAAUAAAACAGAAACCCCAGAAGUGAGAUGUUUUAAAUGAAAGGUGAUGCACUGUGAACUUAACACACUGGCCCUUUAGCCUUUCUGUUAACAAGGUAAUCUGAUUGCCAUUGAUUUUUUUCACCUUUGUUACUAAGAAGGUGAUGGAAUGG
Long non-coding RNA from Chroicocephalus ridibundus (black-headed gull), 1555 nucleotides. RefSeq lists it as uncharacterized. The record is from RefSeq and is a predicted model, not a curated record. The transcript has 7 exons. Lineage: Eukaryota; Metazoa; Chordata; Aves; Charadriiformes; Laridae.